CCUACGGAGGCAGCAGUGGGGAAUCUUGCACAAUGGAGGAAACUCUGAUGCAGCGAUGCCGCGUGAGUGAAGAAGGCCUUUGGGUUGUAAAGCUCUUUUGUAGGGGAAGAUAAUGACUGUACCCUAAGAAUAAGGUCCGGCUAGCUUCGUGCCAGCAGCCGCGGUAAUACGAAGGGACCUAGCGUAGUUCGGAAUUACUGGGCGUAAAGCGCGCGUAGGCCGUUGAGUUAGUUAAUUGUGAAAUCCCAAAGCUUAACUUUGGAACUGCAAUUAAAACUGCUCGACUAGAGUUUGAUAGAGGAAAGCGGAAUACAUAGUGUAGAGGUGAAAUUCGUAGAUAUUAUGUAGAACACCAGUUGCGAAGGCGGCUUUCUGGAUCAACACUGACGCUGAGGCGCGAAAGUAUGGGUAGCAAAGAGGAUUAGAUACCCUCGUAGUCCAUACCAUAAACGAUGAUUGCUAGAUGUUGGAAAUUUAUUUUCAGUAUCGCAGCUAACGCAUUAAGCAAUCCGCCUGGGGAGUACGACCGCAAGGUUAAAACUCAAAGGAAUUGACGG
RNAcentral lists this ribosomal RNA (557 nucleotides) under uncultured bacterium. Its description in RNAcentral is "bacterial SSU rRNA". It matches the Rfam family "Bacterial small subunit ribosomal RNA", at positions 338 to 916 of the family's 1533-position model. The record is from RNAcentral.